UACAGAGGGUGCGAGCGUUAAUCGGAAUUACUGGGCGUAAAGCGCGCGUAGGCGGCUUUGCAAGUCGGGUGUGAAAUCCCCAGGCUUAACCUGGGAACUGCAUUCGAGACUGCAUUGCUAGAGUAUGGGAGAGGGAAGUGGAAUUUCCGGUGUAGCGGUGAAAUGCGUAGAUAUUGGGAGGAACACCAGUGGCGAAGGCGGCUCACUGGACCGGAACUGACGCUGAGGCGCGAAAGCGUGGGGAGCAAACAGG
RNAcentral lists this ribosomal RNA (253 nucleotides) under uncultured bacterium. RNAcentral describes it as "partial 16S ribosomal RNA". It matches the Rfam family "Bacterial small subunit ribosomal RNA", at positions 524 to 776 of the family's 1533-position model. The record is from RNAcentral.